Molecule: unclassified non-coding RNA, 379 nt
Filed under: uncultured Actinomycetes bacterium
Lineage: Bacteria; Bacillati; Actinomycetota; Actinomycetes
Description: uncultured actinobacterium contains 16S-23S intergenic spacer region
Source: RNAcentral
UCCGAGUUGACCCCGGCAGUCUCCUAUGAGUCCCCGCCAUCACGCGCUGGCAACAUGCGACGAGGGUUGCGCUCGUUGCGGGACUUAACCCAACAUCUCGCGACACGAGCUGACGACGGCCAUGCACCACCUGUGAUCGUGCCCCGAAGGGAGGGUGUGUUUCCACACCUGUCACGAACAUGUCAAACCCAGGUAAGGUUCUUCGCGUUGCGUCGAAUUAAUCCGCAUGCUCCGCCGCUUGUGCGGGCCCCCGUCAAUUCCUUUGAGUUUUAGCCUUGCGGCCGUACUCCCCAGGCGGGGCACUUAAUGCGUUAGCUACGGCACGGAUCCCGUGGAAGGAAACCCACACCUAGCGCCCACCGUUUACGGCGUGGACUAC